CGGGCGAGUAACGCGUGAGUAACCUGCCCUAGAGUGGGGGACAACAGUUGGAAACGACUGCUAAUACCGCAUAAGCCCACGGCUCGGCAUCGAGCAGAGGGAAAAGGAGCAAUCCGCUUUGAGAUGGCCUCGCGUCCGAUUAGCUAGUUGGUGAGGUAAUGGCCCACCAAGGCGACGAUCGGUAGCCGGACUGAGAGGUUGAACGGCCACAUUGGGACUGAGACACGGCCCAG
RNAcentral lists this ribosomal RNA (233 nucleotides) under uncultured Bacillota bacterium. RNAcentral describes it as "uncultured Firmicutes bacterium partial 16S ribosomal RNA". It matches the Rfam family "Bacterial small subunit ribosomal RNA", at positions 103 to 334 of the family's 1533-position model. The record is from RNAcentral. Lineage: Bacteria; Bacillati; Bacillota.